AGGAUGAGGAGAGAGAGAGAGGAGAGGAGAGAGGUUGAGGUUGAGGUUGAGGUUGAAGAAGAAGAAGGGAUUGAACAAGUAAAGGGAUGAAAUUGGAAUAAAAAGGAGUGGUGAGUUUGGUAAAGCAUUGAAUUAGGGCUGAAAGCGUCCGUGGCCUAUACUAAAAGUGCCCGUUUCUUUCUCUCUCUCUUCUCUCUCCUUUAAUUUACCUUUUU
Molecule: microRNA precursor, 215 nt
Filed under: Prunus dulcis (almond)
Lineage: Eukaryota; Viridiplantae; Streptophyta; Magnoliopsida; Rosales; Rosaceae
Description: sRNA ncRNA
Source: RNAcentral